UGUGUGUGUGUGUGUGUGUGUGUGCGUGUCUCUGUGUGUCUGUGUGUGUGUGUGUCUCUGUGUGUGUGUGUGUGUGUGUGUGUCUGUGUGUCUCUGUGUGUGUGUCUGUGUGUGUGUGUGUGUGUGUGUGUGUCUGUGUGUGUGUGUGUCUGUGUGUGUGUCUCUCUCUCUCUGUGUGUGUGUGUGCGUUACUGUGUACUAUUGGACACAUCAUAGGUUACUGUGUACUAUUGGACACAUCACAGGUUACUGUGUACUAUUGGACACAUCAUAGGUUACUGUGUACUAUUGGACACAUCAUAGGUUACUAUGUACUAUUGGACACAUCACAGGUUACUGUGUACUAUUGGACACAUCAUAGGUUACUAUGUACUAUUGGAC
Oncorhynchus tshawytscha (Chinook salmon) is the source of this 381-nucleotide long non-coding RNA. The record is from Ensembl. Lineage: Eukaryota; Metazoa; Chordata; Actinopteri; Salmoniformes; Salmonidae.